UGGUGGAGCGAUUUGUCUGGUUAUUUCCGAAAACGAAUGAGACUUUAGCCUGCUAAAUAGUCUGCAGAUCGCUUCGUCUGCAGGACUUCUUAGAGGGACAAGCGGCAUAUAGCUGCAAGAAAAUGAGCAAUAACA
RNAcentral lists this ribosomal RNA (135 nucleotides) under uncultured eukaryote. Its description in RNAcentral is "partial 18S ribosomal RNA". It matches the Rfam family "Eukaryotic small subunit ribosomal RNA", at positions 1299 to 1458 of the family's 1831-position model. The record is from RNAcentral.